RNAcentral lists this unclassified non-coding RNA (376 nucleotides) under soil metagenome. RNAcentral describes it as "partial contains 5.8S ribosomal RNA, internal transcribed spacer 2, and large subunit ribosomal RNA". The stretch from base 1 to 121 matches the Rfam family "5.8S ribosomal RNA", at positions 35 to 154 of the family's 154-position model. The record is from RNAcentral.
GAUGAAGAACGUCAGUGAAAUGCGAUAAGUAAUGUGAAUUGCAGAAUUCAGUGAAUCAUCGAAUCUUUGAACGCACAUUGCGCCCGCCAGUAUUCUGGCGGGCAUGCCUGUUCGAGCGUCAUUUCAACCCUCAAGACCCCUUCGGGGGACUUGGUGUUGGGGACCGGCACAGGGGCCUGCCUGCUUGUCUUGCAGCGCCCUCGCCGCCCCCGAAAUGAAUUGGCGGCCUCGUCGCGGCCUCCCCUGCGUAGUAGCACAAACCUCGCAACGGGAACGUGACGGCGGCCACUGCCGUAAAACAACCCAAUUUUAUUAGAGUUGACCUCGAAUCAGGUAGGAAUACCCGCUGAACUUAAGCAUAUCAAUAAGCGGAGGA